GACUACGUGAGCGGGUACGACAUGGUUCCUGACCUGCACCUUCAUGCCAAACGACUCCCGGCCUCCGGAGCCGGGUGCGGAGGUUCGAAUCCUCCCGGGGUCACCA
This 106-nucleotide transfer RNA is filed under the name Acidiferrimicrobium australe. RNAcentral describes it as "Acidimicrobiaceae bacterium USS-CCA1 tRNA-Ser". Lineage: Bacteria; Bacillati; Actinomycetota; Acidimicrobiia; Acidimicrobiales; Acidimicrobiaceae. The record is from RNAcentral.